RNAcentral lists this ribosomal RNA (274 nucleotides) under uncultured bacterium. RNAcentral's name for it is "partial 16S ribosomal RNA". It matches the Rfam family "Bacterial small subunit ribosomal RNA", at positions 524 to 794 of the family's 1533-position model. The record is from RNAcentral.
UACAGAGGGUGCAAGCGUUGUUCGGAAUCAUUGGGCGUAAAGCGCACGUAGGCGGUCUGCUAAGUCGGGUGUGAAAGCCCCAGGCUCAACCUGGGAAGUGCACUCGAAACUGGCGGACUUGAAUGUCGGAGAGGUGGUGGAAUUCCGAGUGUAGAGGUGAAAUUCGUAGAUAUUCGGAGGAACACCAGUGGCGAAGGCGACCACCUGGACGAACAUUGACGCCUGAGGUGCGAAAGCGUGGGGAGGCAAACAGGAAUUGAGAAACCCUUACGGU